GACAGAGGUGGCUAGCGUUGUUCGGAAUUACUGGGCUUAAAGGGCGCGUAGGCGGUAAUGUAAGUCUGAGGUGGAAUCCUUUGGCUUAACCAAAGGACUGCCUUGGAAACUGCAUUACUUGAGUCAGAUAGGGGAAGGCGGAAUUCCUGGUGUAGCAGUGAAAUGCGUAGAUAUCAGGAGGAAGGCCUGUGGUGAAGACGGCCUUCUGGGUCUUGACUGACGCUGAGGCGCGAAAGCGUGGGGAGCAAACAGG
Molecule: ribosomal RNA, 253 nt
Filed under: uncultured bacterium
Lineage: Bacteria
Description: partial 16S ribosomal RNA
Rfam family: Bacterial small subunit ribosomal RNA
Source: RNAcentral